AAAAAAAGGGUGAAUUGUAGGAAAUAUAACCUGGCCUUCAGUAGAGUUCUGGUGCGUACAAACUUGUGGUGAAGUCUGCUUUCCACAUUUCUGCAUGUGACUCUGAAGUGGAGCAUGUUAAGAAACCAAAAAAGACCACUCUUGGCCCUGGAAAAUAGCAGAUUUAUCAGCAACUUUAACUGUGACUUUUUCACAAGUGGACAGUACUGUGUGACAAAUUAAGCAAAUAAAAUAUUCCUAUCAAAAAUAAAGAAAAAAAGA
This 261-nucleotide long non-coding RNA is filed under the name Phasianus colchicus (ring-necked pheasant). RNAcentral's name for it is "lncRNA (ENSPCLG00000015540.1)". The record is from RNAcentral. Lineage: Eukaryota; Metazoa; Chordata; Aves; Galliformes; Phasianidae.